GAUGAACGCUGGCGGCGUGCUUAAGACAUGCAAGUCGAACGCAACUCUGGCAGCAAUGUUGGGGUUGAGUGGCGAAUGGGUGCGUAACACGUAGGUGACCUGCCCGGAAGUGGGAAUAACAGUCCGAAAGGACUGCUAAUACCGCAUGCGACCGCGGGGACGGAAGUUCCCGCGCUCAAAGGUCAAGCGUAAGCGCGAUCGCUUCCGGAGGGGCCUGCGGCCCAUCAGCUCGUUGGUU
Molecule: ribosomal RNA, 238 nt
Filed under: uncultured bacterium
Lineage: Bacteria
Description: partial 16S ribosomal RNA
Rfam family: Bacterial small subunit ribosomal RNA
Source: RNAcentral